Molecule: ribosomal RNA, 253 nt
Filed under: uncultured bacterium
Lineage: Bacteria
Description: partial 16S ribosomal RNA
Rfam family: Bacterial small subunit ribosomal RNA
Source: RNAcentral
UACGUAGGGGGCGAGCGUUGUCCGGAUUUAUUGGGCGUAAAGAGCGUGUAGGCGGCCAGGUAGGUCUGCUGUGAAAACUCGAGGCUCAACCUCGAGACGUCGGCGGAAACCAUCUGGCUAGAGUCCGGAAGAGGAGAGCGGAAUUCCUGGUGUAGCGGUGGAAUGCGCAGAUAUCAGGAAGAACACCCGUGGCGAAGGCGGCUCUCUGGGACGGUACUGACGCUGAGACGCGAAAGCGUGGGGAGCGAACAGG